This is a long non-coding RNA of Phodopus roborovskii (desert hamster), 698 nucleotides long. RefSeq lists it as uncharacterized. The transcript has 3 exons. Lineage: Eukaryota; Metazoa; Chordata; Mammalia; Rodentia; Cricetidae. The record is from RefSeq and is a predicted model, not a curated record.
AACAAAACUCUGAUUUGAGGGUCAGGAUCCCGGGGGAAACUCACCAGCCGCAGGGUGGAUCAAGGUGUCGUCUCUCCAGGUGCACAGAGGACGAACAAGCUCCUGGUCUCUGCUUAUAUAGUGGCCAGAGCGUCAUAGGAUUCUAGGACUGUGUCUGGUUAUCUUGAGUGUAUAUAUCUGCAUGUGGGUAUGUGAUAUGCGUUCAGAGCUCAGAGGCAACGGAUCACCUGGAGCUGCAAUUAUAGACUGUUCUGAGACACCUGUCAUGGAUGCUGGGACCCUAAAUUGGGUCCUCCAGAAGAGCAGCAAGUGGUCUUAAUUGCUGAGCCAUCUCUAGCCAUGAUGGUAGAGUUUCUAGAACAGUUUAAAACUGUAUUUCUCAGGCAAACCAGAAGCAUCAGCAUCACCUGGGAAUGGGCCAUGUCAAAUUAAAAGACGAAGACAAAACUUCUUCACUAGGAAUUGAUAAGGUCUCCUCAAAGGACAGCCUCUUCCCACCUCUUCCGCUCCACCAGAUGCCAUGAGAAGCCUUGCUGUAAUGAGCUACUGUAAGUGGUGUCUUAAAAUCCUUCAGGCAUUUAGGACCAGAGAGAAGUUGAGAACCACAGAAAGAACUUUCCACUCAUUGGUGAAACUGUUAGCCAGAAGGCAGAAAAACACAGGCAAAUGGAAGCUAGAGGCAAGAGAGAGUUGAGAGU